Molecule: unclassified non-coding RNA, 240 nt
Filed under: soil metagenome
Description: partial contains 5.8S ribosomal RNA, internal transcribed spacer 2, and large subunit ribosomal RNA
Source: RNAcentral
AACGCACGAGACCUGCGGACCUGCGGAGGGAUCAUUACCAAACAAAAAAGCUCAGGUCUGGGUAACCAGCCAGAGUGCAAACCCUCUGUGAAACAGAAAAUACCUUUCGCUUCCGUGGUAGGUUGGGCGUCCUUAACCGGUCCCCAGCUGUAAUCCCACGGGCAGCAAAGCAAAACUAGAAUUACCAAACCUGAUCUGAACAAUCGUUAAAAACGAAUGAAAAUUAAAACUUUCAACAAU